GAUGAACGCUGACAGAAUGCUUAACACAUGCAAGUCGACUCGAGUCUUCGGACCUGGGUGGCGCACGGGUGAGUAACGCGUAAAGAACUUGCCUCUUAGACCGGGACAACAUCUGGAAACGGAUGCUAAUACCGGAUAUUAUGGUUUUUUCGCAUGGAGGAAUCAUGAAAGCUAGAUGCGCUAAGAGAGAGCUGUGCGUCCCAUUAGCUAGUUGGUGAGGUAACGGCCCACCAAGGCAAUGAUGGGUAGCCGGCCUGAGAGGGUGAACGGCCACAAGGGGACUGAGACACGGCCCUUACUCCUACGGGAGGCAGCAGUGGGGAAUAUUGGACAAUGGACCACAAGUCUGAUCCAGCAAUUCUGUGUGCACGAUGACGUUUUUCGGAAUGUAAAGUGCUUUCAGUCGGGAAGAAGUCAGUGACGGUACCGACAGAAGAAGCGACGGCUAAAUACGUGCCAGCAGCCGCGGUAAUACGUAUGUCGCAAGCGUUAUCCGGAUUUAUUGGGCGUAAAGCGCGUCUAGGCGGCAAGGAAAGUCUGAUGUGAAAAUGCGGAGCUCAACUCCGUAUGGCGUUGGAAACUGCCUUACUAGAGUACUGGAGAGGUAGGCGGAACUACAAGUGUAGAGGUGAAAUUCGUAGAUAUUUGUAGGAAUGCCGAUGGGGAAGCCAGCCUACUGGACAGAUACUGACGCUAAAGCGCGAAAGCGUGGGUAGCAAACAGG
RNAcentral lists this ribosomal RNA (724 nucleotides) under uncultured Fusobacterium sp. Its description in RNAcentral is "bacterial SSU rRNA". It matches the Rfam family "Bacterial small subunit ribosomal RNA", at positions 28 to 776 of the family's 1533-position model. The record is from RNAcentral. Lineage: Bacteria; Fusobacteriati; Fusobacteriota; Fusobacteriia; Fusobacteriales; Fusobacteriaceae.